UUGGAUGAUGAUGAGGCCUGU
RNAcentral lists this non-coding RNA (21 nucleotides) under Rattus norvegicus (Norway rat). Lineage: Eukaryota; Metazoa; Chordata; Mammalia; Rodentia; Muridae. The record is from RNAcentral.